RNAcentral lists this ribosomal RNA (396 nucleotides) under uncultured bacterium. RNAcentral's name for it is "partial 16S ribosomal RNA". It matches the Rfam family "Bacterial small subunit ribosomal RNA", at positions 523 to 918 of the family's 1533-position model. The record is from RNAcentral.
AUACGUAGGUGGCGAGCGUUGUCCGGAUUUACUGGGUGUAAAGGGCGAGUAGGCGGGUAAACAAGUCAGAUGUGAAAUACCGAGGCUCAACUUCGGGGCUGCAUUUGAAACUGUUUAUCUUGAGUGCUGGAGAGGCAGGCGGAACUCCCAGUGUAGCGGUAAAAUGCAUAGAGAUUGGGAGGAACACCAGUGGCGAAGGCGGCCUGCGGGACAUCAACGGACGCUGAGGAGCGAAAGUGUGGGGAGCAAACAGGAUUAGAUACCCUGGUAGUCCACACCGUAAACGAGGGAUACUAGGUGUGCGGGGACUGACCCCCUGCGUGCCGGAGUUAACACAUUAAGUAUCCCACCUGGGGAGUACGAUCGCAAGAUUGAAACUCAAAGGAAUUGACGGGG